Molecule: long non-coding RNA, 627 nt
Organism: Cryptotermes secundus
Lineage: Eukaryota; Metazoa; Arthropoda; Insecta; Blattodea; Kalotermitidae
Exons: 2
Source: RefSeq, a predicted model, not a curated record
CUUAAAGGUUAAAUAUAAUAGUGACACUAUAUAAUAUUAACAUAUAUUAGCUUUUACCAAGUAAUUUUACUGUUUGUUGUAGACUGGCGAGAUGAUGGUGCAGCAGCGUCUUGUUUGAAAAUGAGCUGUCUCUCCACAUCCAUGAGGGGCUGAAGUGACUGGCGGUCUUCCAUGUCCAUUGGACAUAUGCACAGCAAGAUCUUGCAGAGUUAAUAGGGGGAAGAUGACUGUUUUUCAGAAGGCUUAUAAAGAGAUGAUCCAAGACCUGAGAGGGAACAAUGUGCAGGGAACUGAAAUACAGUGAAACCCUCAUCAGUGCUCUUUGAUGCGAGAUUAACCUCAGUCAUAUGUCACGGGAAGCCUGGAUGAGGAUUUCCAGCACUGGAAGAAGUGCAGCAGUUGUGUAAGAGGUUCAUCUGCCAGUGCUACAGAUGCAAUGGGUAAACUACCGCAUCUCUCCGCCACAAGAUACCGGUCUUGCAACUGGCCUUAGAAAUGUAUGUCUCAUAAAUAUAGAUCAAUAUCUCUUCAGAUAUCAUCAUUAUGAUGCUUGAAGUGUGAGUUGGUCUAAAUGAAUGACCUGUGUUUGAAUUAUAUGUAAGAAAUUUAGAUUUAUUUUGUCCAAAA